Long non-coding RNA from Physella acuta, 901 nucleotides. RefSeq lists it as uncharacterized. Lineage: Eukaryota; Metazoa; Mollusca; Gastropoda; Physidae. The record is from RefSeq and is a predicted model, not a curated record.
UUUCUCAUACAAAAUUCAGUUUACUAAUACUUGAUAAUGGGAAAGGACAAAAAAUAUGAAUUGAAAUAGGGUUUUCUAGUAAAUCACAGUGCAAACUGAUCUUAGAUUUUAUCUAUCUGAAGUCAAAAUUCUUUGGCUGAAUAGAAUGGGAGAGGUGGUUUUGAGAACCACUGGCAGGCUUUAAAAAAGAACUCAAACUGCAAACUUACUAAUUAAUGUUAGACAUGCUAAAGAGGUGACAUUUAUGAUGAGCUAUCGUGCAGUUGUUAUUGGAGAUCAGACCACAGUCAGAACAACUGUCCAUCUGAUUGUAUCAGUGUCUCAGUGCCUCUCCAUUUGAUCUUGUUAGCAGCCAGUGUUUUUAGUAGGGCAACAAGCUAUUAGUACUUCCUUAACCUCAUGUUAUGUUCCCUUAAGUUUGAAAUUUUUCAAAUUCAGAUCGAAUUCAAAAUUAAAGAUUGAAUUAUUUUAAGUUUAUAGAAAUCUCAAAAUUGUUUUUUUUCCAUGUAUUGGCUUAAUCUUUGAUGGCUGCUGGUAUUUUUGAUAAUGAGCAGAUUCUGAUGAAUUUAUUGAGGUUUUAAUAGAACCACUACAUUCUUUAUUAAAACGGUUAGAUGAUUAUUCAAAUAAUGGUGACAUUGUUGAUUCAAGAGUGUAUUCAUGGGCUUUAGCUAGAGCAUACCUAUGAAAUAAUCCAAAUAUAGUAAGGAAUUAUUUGUUUUAAGUUACCAAGCAAACUAAUAUAGUGAAAGUUAUGAGGGGCUCACACAAGUAGACACAGAUGUACAAGAAAAUCAAAGAAUUCACUUCAACUGAAAUAUAGUUUAUUUUGUUCCCACAUUAUAUUAAUUCUAAAUAAUGAAUCAAACUCACUCAACAAUAAAAUACAAUUUUUUAAAAA